This 429-nucleotide ribosomal RNA is filed under the name uncultured bacterium. RNAcentral describes it as "bacterial SSU rRNA". It matches the Rfam family "Bacterial small subunit ribosomal RNA", at positions 355 to 775 of the family's 1533-position model. The record is from RNAcentral.
UGGGGAAUCUUGCGCAAUGGACGAAAGUCUGACGCAGCCACGCCGCGUGAGUGAAGAAGGCCUUCGGGUUGUAAAGCUCUGUCGGAGGGGACAAAAACGUUUUGAGUGAAUAGCUCAAGAUCUUGAUGGUACCCUUAAAGGAAGCACCGGCUAACUUCGUGCCAGCAGCCGCGGUAAUACGAAGGGUGCAAGCGUUGCUCGGAAUUAUUGGGCGUAAAGGGUAGGUAGGUGGUGACAUUUGUCUGGGGUGAAAUCCCUGAGCUUAACUCAGGAAGUGCCUUGGAAACGGUGUCACUGGAGUACUGGAGAGGUUUGUAGAAUUCCUGGUGUAGCGGUGAAAUGCGUAGAGAUCAGGAGGAAUAUCAGAGGCGAAGGCGACAAACUGGACAGUAACUGACACUCAACUACGAAAGCGUGGGUAGCAAACAG